GUGUUGGUGGUUGAUGGUGGUGGGGGUCCGCCCGGUUCCGUUCCGAUCCCGGUAGCUAAGCCCAUUCACGCUGAUGGUACUGCACCUGGUGGGGUGUGGGAGAGUAGGUUACCGCCAACAC
Molecule: ribosomal RNA, 121 nt
Filed under: Corynebacterium otitidis
Lineage: Bacteria; Bacillati; Actinomycetota; Actinomycetes; Mycobacteriales; Corynebacteriaceae
Source: RNAcentral